This is a long non-coding RNA of Pipra filicauda (Wire-tailed manakin), 847 nucleotides long. RefSeq lists it as uncharacterized. The transcript is spliced from 2 exons. The record is from RefSeq and is a predicted model, not a curated record. NCBI's taxonomy places the organism in Eukaryota, Metazoa, Chordata, Aves, Passeriformes, Pipridae.
CAGCACCGCCCGCCGCCCCUGCUCUCCCCCCUCCCGCCUCACGGCGGCCCCUGAGCCGCCCCCGCCCCGGCGCACAACAUGGCGGCGGCACAGGCACCGGGGGCGGGGCCGCGGCCGGCCCGGCUCAGCCAAUCCGCUCGCGUCUCACGUUAUAAAAAGGGGUGGGGAAAGCGCUGUUAUCUCUGGGAUGGGGCGGCACCGACCCCGCUCCGCGCCCCCACCGCCCUCUAACACCCCCCCAUCCCCUUCACCGCUCCGUGCCGGCCGCCCUCUAACCCCCCACACCGCUCGCCGCCGGCCGCCCUCUAACCCCCCACACCGCUCCGUGCCGGCCGCCCUCUAACCCCCCACACCGCUCCCCGCCGGCCGCCCUCCCGUGCUAGCUGCCCUCCCGCUCACCGGCCCCGCGCCGUACUCGCUGCGCUCCCGCACCGCUUGUCACCCACCGCCCAGCCCCGCCCGAAAAGGAAGAAAAGAACAAGGAUCAGAGGGUCAAGGAUGGAGAUGAUAAAGAAGAGCCAAGGAGAACAUCUGGAUCAUCUGGAUACCUUCCCAUAUUCAGCUCCAAGGACAUUGGGCUAAUUAAAACUAUUGAAUGGAAAGUCCCUGGCACGUGGAAUGGGCCUGCAACAGAACCAACCAGAACGAAGCCCGCGAACCCAAGCCCAAUCAAGAGCUAACGAGUGACUAUGACUGUAGUCACUUGUUAGUGAAAAGUAUAAAAGUUGCUGUUUGUUUUUAUUGGGCUUGUGGGCCGGUGGAGAGCAGGGGUCUCUCCAGGCCACCCAGCACGCUGAUUUGCUUAUCUGCACUUUAUAUAAAUCUUACAAUAAAUUUUGCUGCUAAA